GCUCCCAACGCGACCCCAGGUCAGUCGGGACUACCCGCUGAGUU
This 44-nucleotide ribosomal RNA is filed under the name Fagus japonica. RNAcentral describes it as "partial 25S ribosomal RNA". The record is from RNAcentral. Lineage: Eukaryota; Viridiplantae; Streptophyta; Magnoliopsida; Fagales; Fagaceae. RNAcentral also lists the same sequence under 1 other name.